GGACCCGCACAAGCGGUGGAGCAUGUGGUUUAAUUCGAUGCAACGCGAAGAACCUUACCUGGUCUUGACAUCCUGCGAACUUUCUAGAAAUAGAUUGGUGCCUUCGGGAACGCAGUGACAGGUGCUGCAUGGCUGUCGUCAGCUCGUGUCGUGAGAUGUUGGGUUAAGUCCCGUAACGAGCGCAACCCCUAUCCUUAUUUGCCAGCACAUUAUGGUGGGAACUAUAAGGAGACUGCCGGUGAUAAACCGGAGGAAGGCGGGGACGACGUCAAGUCAUCAUGGCCCUUACGACCAGGGCUACACACGUGCUACAAUGGGAAGGACAAAGAGCCGCGAAGCCGCGAGGUGUAGCUAAUCUCAUAAACCGUGGCUCAGUUCAGAUCGUAGGCUGCAACUCGCCUACGUG
Molecule: ribosomal RNA, 406 nt
Filed under: uncultured bacterium
Lineage: Bacteria
Description: bacterial SSU rRNA
Rfam family: Bacterial small subunit ribosomal RNA
Source: RNAcentral